Molecule: long non-coding RNA, 1489 nt
Organism: Dromaius novaehollandiae (emu)
Lineage: Eukaryota; Metazoa; Chordata; Aves; Casuariiformes; Dromaiidae
Exons: 5
Source: RefSeq, a predicted model, not a curated record
CUUUAACGGGUGCCUGCAAGCUGGUAGGAAGCAUGGGCCCAUGCAGUGUCUGCUGGAGAAGGGCCCUAGGACUUUCAGACCUACUCAUGGUCAUCUUCCAUGAGCAGGGGCAGCAUGCUCAGGCUUGCCAGCGUUAUGCAGCAGCUCGUCUCAGGAUUUUCGCUGUAAGGAGCGACCUCUAGUGCUCUCCGAGCCGCUGCUCCGGCACUGGAAGCACAUGGGGUUUGGAGAGUGAGCCUUUUGGAGAAAACAUGAACACUAGGAGAAGGUAGCAAAGCUCUCUUUUCCAAGGUCUUUUACCACUUACGGAGGAAAAUAUUCCAGUAAUCCUGUUGGAGGCAGCAGACAACAAAGAAAUUGCUGAAAUGCAGUAAUGCCAUAUCCCGAAGGAAAGCCUGAGCGCUCAGUCACUGUAAAGCUCUUUGCAAAAUGCACACAGAGACUCAAGGACAUUCCUCAAGGAUGACAGUUCCUGCAUGUGUCAUACCUAACCCCGAGUCACCAAAACUGGUCCCUGAGCCACUUGGUCUCCGUUGUCCCUGCUCCGAACAGAGAGUUGGACCUGAUGACCUCCGGGGACCCCUCCAGCCUCAGCUGUUCAAGGACGCUGUGACCCCCCAGGAAUGGUGUGAAGGGUCCAAGGCUUCACCUGAGAGACGGCCACAAGAAUGUCUUUACAGCUGAUUAAUAGCAGCCCACACCAGAGAAGACGGGAGAGAAGACAAGUACGGCUUGUCUUUUUAGCAGUCCAGGAAAAGGAAGGAAGGGAUCAGGAGUUCGAGUUGUGCCUUUGCUUCUCUCUCAUGCUGUAGCCAGUGAUCUCUCACUGCGAGUAACAGGAGAGACUUUGCGCAGCCCACGUGGCCACAUCAGAUUAUAAGACAUGGCCCUUUUAACUUGAAGGAAUUUGUAGGAACUGAUGUGGUAGUGGCCAGCGCUGGCCAUGCUGUCUCCUGUGGGAAAGCCACAAAGUCAUCAUCACGAGUCAAUGACAUUUCUUUGCAGUACUUAAUGCUGGGCCUAAAGCAUGAACAGACUGUGUCAUCACCAGAGAGUGUUUUACUUUUAUUUAUGAAGGUUUUGUGAUUCUGAAAGUCUCUCUGCUGGUAGAGGAUCCCUCCAGUCCUCCAAGGCUGGUAUCACUCUUUCAGCAAGCAGAGGUCAAAGACAUUUUUUGACAGAUAUUGUCUGCCUGACUGGCUCUUCCUGGAAUCUCAUGCAAAGUGAGAACAACUGCUUUUGCACAUGCUACACAACUGUAAAUGUAGCUUUAUGAGAAGCAUUCACCAAGCAAUAUAAGCAGAUAUUGGACUCACUGCUUUAAUAAGAUGUAGAUGGAAAUCAUGAAAUAAUUCACAAUAAGACAAAAUAUCAAAUAGUUCAAAUGAAGUCCUGGAAUCAGAUCUGAGACUGGUUUCAUAUGUCCUGUCUGUCAGGUUAUAUUCUGAAGUUAGAUACUUAGCUGAUACAAAUAAACCUUUCUGCUUUA